ACGCUCGACACCUACGGGAGGCGGCAGUCGGGAAUAUUGCGCAAUGGAGGAAACUCUGACGCAGUGACGCCGCGUAUAGGAAGAAGGUUUUCGGAUUGUAAACUAUUGUCGUUAGGGAAGAAAAAAGACAGUACCUAAGGAGGAAGCUCCGGCUAACUACGUGUCAGCAGCCGCGGUAAUCUGAGCGGGCUGGCAAGGC
This 199-nucleotide ribosomal RNA is filed under the name uncultured bacterium. RNAcentral describes it as "partial 16S ribosomal RNA". It matches the Rfam family "Bacterial small subunit ribosomal RNA", at positions 328 to 539 of the family's 1533-position model. The record is from RNAcentral.